GAGAGGAGCGCGAUUCGCCCAUAUAUAUAUAUAUAUAUAUAGGCAAUGGCGCUCGGAGUUGGACAGAGUGUUUCCUGUUCUGGAUUCUUGAAUCGAAUCCGAUAAGUUAGAUGUAAGCGUGUUUCCUGUUCUGGAUUAGAAAGCCCCAAAUUAAUUAGACUAAUUAUAUUUUAGUGUCGAAUUAUAUAUAUUUAAUUUGAAAUUAUCUUUCGCACAUGCCUUCAGCUUCUUUCUAUGUAUCUCCGAGAUCCAGCGAGCCAAUCGCCCGGUUCGGUUUAGGGUUGAUUUUGAGCUUUCCUUGAUGGAUUUUAGGUUCGAGGAUCUUGAAGACGGAGGUAUCUGCGCUGGUUCUUCUGGUGUUGGCUUGUGGUGUACAAUCUAUGCAUUUCUUUGUGUGUCUUCAAGACGGAGGAUCUUGAAGACGGAGGUAUCUGCGCUGGUUCUUCUGGUGUUGGCUUGUGGUGUACAAUCUAUGCAUUUCUUUGUGUGUCUUCAAGACGGAGGAUCUUGAAGACGGAGGUAUCUGCGCUGGUUCUUCUGGUGUUGGCUUGUGGUGUACAAUCUAUGCAUUUCUUUGUGUGUCUUCAAGACGGAGGAUCUUGAAGACGGAGGUAUCUGCGCUGAUUUUGGGUGGGAGCUGAUAGAAGGUACAAGAUUUGGUGUUGCAUUGGCAAUCCAUUGGCAUUGCAUUCGGUAGCAUGCUUGCCAAGACUGCCAGGCGAAGUAGUUCACAGUGCUAUGCCUUGAGGACUUCUUGCGGUUUGCCAUGUCUGUUCUAUGUAGAGGCUCCACCGGCAUAUUCAUCUUCUUCUACUGCAUAUACUACUAUCACGCGAGAUCAGACAUGUCAGGCUUCAUGCAAACAUAUGACUUGCAUUUGCUAUGGAUUCUUCCUUCCUUAUGAUGCUGGGGACUGUCGGUCUGUGCCUCUUUGCUGUUCGUGUGGCACAUAUAUUGGGACAUCGAAUGUGAGUAAAAAUUUGCUCUUUCUGCCAAUAAA
Molecule: long non-coding RNA, 1000 nt
Organism: Musa acuminata AAA Group (dessert banana)
Lineage: Eukaryota; Viridiplantae; Streptophyta; Magnoliopsida; Zingiberales; Musaceae
Exons: 2
Source: RefSeq, a predicted model, not a curated record